RNAcentral lists this long non-coding RNA (10864 nucleotides) under Gossypium barbadense (sea-island cotton). RNAcentral describes it as "long non-coding RNA (GBAR_LNC022091)". The record is from RNAcentral. Lineage: Eukaryota; Viridiplantae; Streptophyta; Magnoliopsida; Malvales; Malvaceae.
CUGGGAAGAAAAGUUUACAUCAUCAUAAGCUCACCAUCAAUCGCAAAACAAAUCCUCAAAGACCACGACGCCAUCUUCGCCAACCGCGACAUUCCGGUGGCGGCCAUAAAAGGAACCUUUGGCGGACUCGACAUCGUGUGGAGAUCCAAUGGCCCAGAAUUACACAAGCUACGAAAGCUCGUCGUAAGUGAAAUCAUGAGCAACAAAGGCCUCAAUGCUUGCUACGAGUUUCGCCGUUGAGAGAUCCGACAUAUGGUGAAGAAUAUUCAUGGAAAAAUCGGGUCACCCAUUAACCUCAGUGAACAAAUAUUCUUAACAACGUUCAACGUUACGGUUAACAUGCUUUGGGGUGGUUCGUUGAAUGGAGAAGAAUCGAACCUUGGGCUUGAAUUUAAGGAUCGAUUCGAGGAAUUUUUGAGAUUGAUGGUAGAACCCAAUGUUUCUGAUAUGUUCCCGGUGAUAGAGCAGCGAAGGAAGCUCGGAGAGGGACCAAAAAUGGCUGAUAGUAAGGAUUUUUUGCAGCAAUUGUUGGAGCUGAACCAAACAGGAGAUGUCAAAACUUCAUUAUCCAUGAAGGAAAUAAACGCUGUGCUGCUGGUAAGCAUACACACUAAAUUUUGAAAUCCGGAAUUCUAAAAAUAUAACGACAUUACUAAAUUUCAAAAAUUUACAAAAACUAACAUAUUUUAACCCAGGGCGAGAUUCGGGUAUAUCAGUGUAAAACAAAUUUAAGUGGUUUUACAUUUUUUCUUAACUUUUUAAACGAAUAAUAUUUUAAUAAAACAACGGUCAUAUUUCAUAAAUUAUUCAUGUAGAUCAUGCACAUUAAGUUUAGUAUAAAUUAAAAUGUUUAACUAUUCGCUUUUUGUAAAAAAAAAAUUUAAAUAUUCAUUCGUUAAAAUAUUAAUCAUACAAGAAUAUACAAAAAUAUGUAAAUUACUCAAAUUUCGAUGUAAAUUGAUUCUUUCCCUUAUAUAUAGGCAUGGUUUAAAAAAAAUACAUAACAAUCCAUGAAAUUGGUCGGUUUAGUUGUAAACAAUAUGAUUUUGGAGAUUUCCGGUAUGUUUUGUAGGGUGUGUAAUUGGUUGAUUUAAUUAGUUCAGCUUAAAAAAAGUAAUCGAUUUUUUUAAAAUAAAAAUUAGUAACCGAGCUGAUUUAAAGAUGAAAACACAAUAAUAUUUAAUUUAAAAAUAAGGAAUAUUGAUGAAUUUCAUUAUUUUUGUUAAAAUAUAUUUAGGUUUAGGUUUUGAAUAACCUUAAAACACAUUGUUAGUGCUUUUAUUUCGAUAAAAUUUAAGAUUUUGUUUCUAAGAAGUUAAUUUUUUUUAUUCAAAAUCUUAAUUCAACUGUUAAUAUGAGAGAUUUUUUUGUCAAAAUUUAUCAAUUUGAAAUAUUAGUAUUUUCAUAUAAUUUGAUAAUAAUGGAUAAAAACUAAGUUAAUAAAAAUUAACUAAAUUAUUAAAGGUGUUAAUGACUAAACUACAAUUUUUAAAUUGAAAAUAUAAUGAAUAAAUCUCAAAUCCUGAAUAAUGGGUACAUUAAUUAAUUGAUUGUAACUUAUUUUAAAGUAUAUAAAACCCAGCGCUAUUGAUAUACAUUCAACCUAUAUAAUGUAUUUUAAUUUAACACUCUAAUCAUAAUUAAAUUAAUUAAAUUAUCUCAAUUAGAUCGAUUAAUUUGAUUUUAAUUAAAAUCUGCUCAACUUUAAUCCUUUGUCUCAAAUUGUGGGUAUAGAAUAUUGUAAACGGCGCUACGGACACAACAUUUACAACAAUGGAGUGGGCGAUGACGGAAUUACUACGACACCCAGAUAAAUUGCGAAGAGUCGUCGACGAAUUGGAUGCAAUAAUCGGUGGCCCAAACAUCGUUGAAGAGUUCCAUCUUCCUCGCCUACUCUAUUUAGAAGCUGUGGUGAAAGAGACAUUACGAAUUCACCCACCAGCUCCUUUGCUAAUGCCACACAUGCCGAGUGAGACCAUCAUCGUAGCCGGUUACACUAUCCCUAAAAAUUCUAAUAUUUUCUUCAACGUGUGGGAAAUACAAAGGGACGCCGAGUUCUGGGAAGACCCUCUUCAAUUCGAGCCAGAAAGGUUCUUGAAUGUCAUUGAGAAAAGGAAUUAUAAGGGAAAUAGUUUCGAUUUUUUCCCGUUUGGAUCGGGGAGGAGGAUUUGUGUUGGGAUUUCAAUGGCAGAGAAAAUUAUGAUGCUGGUGCUGGCGACGUUGUUGCAUUGUUUCGAAUGGGAAUUGCCGAAUGGGCGAAAACCUGAUGUGAAAGAGCAACUGCGAUUGGUGUUGUCGAAGGUGGAGCCGCUUAUUGUUGUGCCCAUUGCGCGUUCAUCUAAUUCAAUGCAAUAUCAAUAAAUUUGUGGUUAAAUAUGCUUUAAGUCAUUAUACUUUUCAUAAAUUUUAAAUUUAAUCCUUGUACUUUUAUUUAUAAAAAUUUAAUCUAUCUACUUAUUUUUAUUAGUAUUCACGCUCAUAUUUAAUUCAAAUAUUUUUUUUGAAUUCAAUUUAACUCAAAUUUCGAGUUUUAUUUAAAAUUUGGAACUUAAUCAAAAUUUAAACUUUGCCAUGAAUCUCAAAAUUUGAUUUUUUUUUUUUUUGAAAUGAAACCCGAAAUGUGGAAUUACAUAAAACUUGAAGUUGAAGCUCGAGACUAGUGAAUCAAUGUUAUAUUAAAGUAUAAAUAAGAUAUUUUGUGUUUAUAUUAUAAUUUCAUUAUUAAUAUGCAUAAGUGGUAAUAAUAUAAUAUUAAAAGGAAAAGAGAUAAGCAUGGUGAGUGGGCCGACAUUCACCCUACCAUGCAUCAAAUAGAUGCUGAUUUGAAUAUAUAUACAUAUACAUAUAUAAAAAAAAAAGAGAUAAUCACAAACUCAGUUAGUAUGAAUAUUAUUGAUCUUAUUAUUCAUUAAAUACUUAGAUUUAAUACAAUAAAUAAGUUUAGUUUUAUUUAUUUUCUGUGUAAUUACAAUCAAAAUUUCUAUCUCUAGAAAGUUCAACAAUUCUGGAAAGUUGAUGAUUAAUUGUUUAUCACAUUUAGAAUAUUUAUGGCGACAGAUGAGGAAAUGCUAUUACCUCCAAUUGCCGCAACCUCAUAUUGCUGUAAUCUCGUUUUAUUAUAUAUGAUUGUAAUUAAGUCUUCCAAUUCCCAGGGAAGUGGUGAAUUACAUAAUUUUUUAAUAAUUCAAAUAAGUACUUCAUUCCCUCUGCUUUUUUUUCUAUUCCAACCAGACUACCCACCCAUGUCGAACUUCUACGAUAAGGUUGCUGGCGAAGGUUGGUUGCGCCGCCACGACGGACUGGCUGCGUUCACCAUCACCGAAGUGGUAGCCACUCUCACGGUGGCGACGUUAGUAAUUAUCUAUUUCUCACGGUUGGUUAAGAAACUCAUCAUCAAAACCAAGCCUUCGCCGCUGCCGCCACCAGGCCCGAUAGGCCUGCCGAUACUCGGCCACCUCCUUUUCAUCAAACCCGAUUUCCUCCAAUACGUAACCGAGCAAUCCAAAAUCCACGGCCCCAUCAUCAAGCUUCAGCUGGGAAGAAAAGUUUACAUCAUCAUAAGCUCACCAUCAAUCGCAAAACAAAUCCUCAAAGACCACGACGCCAUCUUCGCCAACCGCGACAUUCCGGUGGCGGCCAUAAAAGGAACCUUUGGCGGACUCGACAUUGUGUGGAGAUCCAAUGGCCCAGAAUUACACAAGCUACGAAAGCUCGUCGUAAGUGAAAUCAUGAGCAACAAAGGCCUCAAUGCUUGCUACGAGUUUCGCCAACGAGAGAUCCGACAUAUGGUGAAGAAUAUUCAUGGAAAAAUCGGGUCACCCAUUAACCUCAGCGAACAAAUAUUCUUAACAACUUUCAACGUUACGGUUAACAUGCUAUGGGGUGGUUCUUUGAAUGGAGAAGAAUUGAACCUUGGGCUUGAAUUUAAGGAUCGAUUCGAGGAAUUUAUGAGAUUGAUGGUAGAACCCAAUGUUUCUGAUAUGUUCCCGGUGCUCAGGCCAUUUGAUUUACAAGGAAUUGAAUCCAAAGCCAAGAAAAAUAUUUCGUGGUUUUAUGAGUUUUUCGAAUCGGUGAUAGAGCAGCGAAAGAAGCUCGGAGAGGGACCCAAAAUGGCUGAUAGUAAGGAUUUUUUGCAGCAAUUGUUGGAGCUGAACCAAACAGGAGAUGUCAAAACUUCAUUAUCCAUGAAGGAAAUAAACGCUGUCUUGCUGGUAAGCAUACACACUGAAUUUUGAAAUCCGGAAUUCUAAAAAUAUAACUACAUUACUAAAUUUUAAAAAAUUACAAAAACUAUAUUACAUAUUUUAAUCCGGCAUACCGAUAUAAAAUUUAAGUGGUUUUAUACUCUUUCGUAACAUUUUACACAAUUAAUAUUUUAAUAAAUCAACGGUCAUAUUUCAUAGUUCAUACUCUAUUCAUGUAAAUCGUGCAUAUCAAGUUUGGCAUAAAUUAAAAAUUUUUAACUAUUCGUUUUAUGUAAAAGAAAUUUCAAUUGUUCAUUCAUUAAAAUAUUAAUGGUACAAAAAUUACUCCAAUUUCACAUCAACAUAAGUUGGUCCAUUCCCAGACAUAUAUGUAUAUAUAUAGACAUGGUUUAAAAAAAAGUACAUAGCAAUCCAUGGAAUUGAUCGAUUUAGUUAUAAACUUUAUGAUUUUGGAGAUAAAAUUUAGGAUUUUGUAAGUUAAUUUUAUAUUUAAAAUAUUAAUUCAACUGUUAAUAUCAAAAAUAUUUUUCAUCAAAAUUUACCAACAUGAAAUAUUAAUUUGAGUGUUGUCAUAUGUGGUGAUAAUAAUUGAUAAAAUAAAUAAAUAUACUAACUUAAUAAAAUUUAACUGAAAUACUAAAGAUGUUAAUGACUGCACUAUAAUUUUUAAAUUAAAAAUAUAAAGGUAUUUUAACCUUUGAAUAAAGGGUACAUUUAAUUGGAUUGGAACUUAUUUUAAAGUAUAUAAAAUCACUUAAUUUUGCUAUUGAUUUAAAAAUAAACAUCCAACUUACCUAAUGUAUUUUAAUUUUACACUCUGAUCAAAAUUUAAUUAAUUUAAUAGAAUUAAAUUAAUUAAAUUAUUUCGAUUCGAUAAAUUAAUUCGAUUUUAAUUAAAUUUUGUUCAACUUUAAUCUUUUGUCUCUAAUUGUGAGUAUAGAAUAUUGUAACUGGCGCUACGGACACGACAUUUACAACAAUAGAGUGGGCGAUGACGGAAUUACUACGACACCCAGAUAAAUUGCGAAGAGUCGUUGAGGAAUUGGAUGCAAUAAUCGGUGACCAAAACAUUGUUGAAGAGUUCCAUCUUCCUCGCCUACUCUAUUUAGAAGCUGUGGUGAAAGAGACGUUACGAAUUCACCCACCGGCUCCUUUGCUAAUGCCACACAUGCCGAGCGAGACCAUCGUCGUAGCCGGUUAUACUAUCCCAAAAAAUUCCAAUAUUUUCUUCAAUGUGUGGGCAAUACAAAGGGACACCCAAUUCUGGGAAGACCCUCUUCAAUUCGAGCCGGAAAGGUUCUUGAAUGUCACUGAGAAAAGGAAUUAUAAGGGAAAUAGUUUCGAUUUUUUCCCGUUUGGAUCGGGGAGGAGGAUUUGUGUUGGGAUUUCAAUGGCAGAGAAAAUUAUGAUGCUGGUGUUGGUGACAUUGUUGCAUUGUUUCGAAUGGGAAUUGCCGAAUGGGCGAAAACCUGAUGUGAAAGAGCAACUACGAUUGGUGUUGUCAAAGGUGGAGCCGCUUGUUGCUGUGCCCAUUGCGCGUUCAUCUAAUUCAAUGCAAUAUCAAUAAAUUUGUGGUUAAAAUAUGCUUUAAGUCAUUAUACUUUUCAUAAAAUUUAAAUUUAAUCCUUGUACUUUUAUUUAUAGAAAUUUAAACCAUCUACUUAUUUUUAUUAAUAUUAUAAUAACCGUAUGACUAUACGGUUAUUUUUAUAUAUAUAUAUAUAUCUUAGAAACUCAUGCACUCUUAUGGUAGGAUGAAAAUAUGUAUUUUUAAUCUAUAUAUUUGCAUGUUCAUAUAUUUUACGGGUCAUAGAAUAUGCAUAUAUUUAAAUAUAUGUCAUGUACAUGUGUUUUGAUAUGAUGUUAUACGUAUGGCCAUCUGCCAAUGGAUAUAUUUGUUUGUGUUAUUUCAUUGUUCAUUUACGCGACUAUCAACUCACGUUUUCAUGUUACUCAAACGUUUACUCGAGAUUAUUUCGCAUUAAAAUUUAAGUGAUUUUAUAUAUUUUUAUAAUUUUUUAUAUGAUUAAUAUUUUAAUAAUUUAACUAUCAUAUUUCAUGCUCUAUUUAUGUAGUUUAUGUACAUCAAAUUUAAUAUAAAUUAAUAAUUUCUAACUUUUUAUUUUAUGUAAAAAAAAACUUUUAACUCAAAUAUCAAACAAAAACGGACAAAUUAUUCCUUACAUGUUAAAUUAAAUAUCAAACAAAGACGGAUGUGAAAGAGGUGAGCAUUCAAUUUCGGGUUAGUUGAGUUAAUGAGUCCUAUUUUAUCAACCUAAUUUGAUUUGAAUUUUUUUUUCAAAUCGAGUUAAGUUAAAUCAAAUCCAGUGAAAUUGUUCGAAUUAAAUUUUAAAAAACUAAACUUGUCGAAUUGGUAAUUUACUUGUUUAAGCCUUCAAAAUUAUUAUUUUGGAUUCUUUUAAAUUUUUUUUUAAAUUUUCUAUUUUCAUAAUUUUUUAAAUAAAAAAUUAUGAAUGUUUGAAUUUUUUAAAAUUAUUUUGAUUUCUUUUUUGUUGAAUGAGAAUAAUUUGCGCAUUUUCGAAAUUGAUAGGGGCGAAAGGAGUAUUUACAUCAAUAUGUUAUUCAAGUCAUUUGAAUUGUGAAAUUUAACUCGACUUGAACUUGAAAAACCAAAUCACUUAUUCAAGUUGACUCAAAAAAUCGAAUAAAUCAAAUAACUCAAUUCGAUUAUGUAACACCCCUUAACCCCGAACCGUCGCCGGAACAGAAUUACGAGGCAUUACCGGACGUAUCGAACGAUUUACAACAAUUCUUAAAUAAAUAACCAAUAUAUUAAAAUAAUUCAUAAAAUUUAUUAGUUUGUUUACCAAAUGACUUCAUUUUUUUUUAUAAAAAUUUCGGCAGCAUUUCUGCUUAUUUUUACAUAAAACCCCCUGCAAAUUAAAACCAUAUAGUUCCCAAAUAUCAUCAAUUCAACCAAUUCAUUUCACAUUCACAUUUUCUAUUCUAAAUACUUCUAAUCAAACUCAAUCUACACAAUAUCAAUUUAAAAUUUAACAAUGUACUAAUUAGAUAAAAUAGAUAGACUUCUUUCAUUAAAAUCCAUAAACUUUUAAUACUAACAUUUUUAACCAUUAUAUAAUAAAACAUAAUAACCUUUAUACACAAUCUAUGUACAUGCCACCUUUACCAAAGGAAAAAUACAUCACCAAGUUUUGCCGAAGCCGGGAUUAAUCUGGAUGCUGAACCGGGACCUUUGACUUCUAUUGACCUGCGCACGGAAACAACCGUACGCUGAGUAAUCCAUACUCAGUGGUAUUACCAUAAUUCAAAUUAUAACAAUAAUGUACAUGUAAUGCAUAAAUCGUAUAUACAAUUUAAAUUAAAUAUUUCAACAAUAGCAAUUCAUCAACCAAUAUCGUAUAUCCACAAUUUGAGUUUGAAUAAUUCACGAACCUUAGGUUCAUUUCUCAAUCUCAUUUCACAUUUCAAUUCACAAUUCAACUUUUUCAUAUCAUUUCAAUAGCUCGUUUGACCAACUCGUUCGGUUUAUCAUUUCAUCAUUUACCCUAUUAACAAAACUCGGACUUUGGCGGAUACACGGAUCCAACCAAACACACCAGAAUGGCACCCAGUGCCUCAUCGGAUAGUUCGAAGCAAUAGUUGACACCCAGUGUCUCAUCGGCAAAGCCGAAGAAAGUUGGUACCCAGUACCUCAUCGAAUCUAUCCGAAGAAAUAUAGUGACACCCAGUGUCUCAUCGACUCGAGGUCGAAGUAUCCCUGAACUCUUCCAAUCCUAUGGCAUGCCAACUAUAUCCGACUCAGCCCGACUAGUUAAUAGGGUAUUUAAAUCACAUAUAUUCUCAAUUCAAUUACAAUUUUUCACAUUUUCAAUUCAAUCAUUUUUCCACCUUUCAAUCAAUAAUUAUUUCACAACUUCACACAUUUUCACAACUCAAUACAUUUCCAUACAACUUAAUACCAUUCACAAUUCGAUUCAAAUUCAUUUCCCGCUUUCAAUCAACAAACAAUUUAAAUAUUAUUUCAUAUCAACUAUUCAAUUUAAUUCCCACUCAUAAUAAUAAUAAUAAUACUAAUAAUAAUACUAAUACUAAUAUUAAUACUUACCUCACAUUUCAUUUACUAGACACAUAAAUUAAAAUUUAACAUUAAAAAAUAAAUAAUUUGAAUUAUAGUAAUACAAACCGUAAUUUUCUCGAGUUUACUCCUCGAUAAUCUUCUCUUUUCCCUUCCGUGCCGACGCUUCUGGUUCUUUGCUAGCUACGAAAAUGAUAAUAAUUUAUACUAUUAAUUUCAGUACUAAUUAUGAUAAUAAUUAAAUUUCUAUUCAAUUUCUUCCUUAUUCUCAAUUUAAUCCUAACUAAAUUCACUUACUUUCCUAAUUCAAUUCACACUCUAUUUCUAUUCAAAUUUCAUCCAAACUAAAAUUUAACUAUCAAAAUUUCAGCAUAUUUUGGUAAUUUCGAAUUUCCCUCAAUUUAGUCCCUAAAACAUAAAACUUAUAGUUUCUUUUACAAUUUAAUCCCUUUUUCAAUUCUAACUUAAAAUUCCUUCAAGUUAAUCCCUAAUUCAUCUCUUUUGUUCAACAUAAACUAUACUUGAAAACCUAUGAACUUACAAAAUAUCAACUUAAUUCCAUCAAAACUUUGUUUUAAAGCUUUUAGAACAUUAGAAUUAAGAGGAAAGGGCUAAUUUGACUUACCAAAUUAAAUUCAAGCUUCAAAAACCAUAUUUUCCCUUUUUCUUUUUCUUUCUUUCUUUCUCCCCUGUUUCGUCUCUUUCUCUGUUCCUUUGUUCUUUCUAUUCUGUUUCUUUUCUGUUUUGUUUCUUUCUUUUUCUUUUUAUUUCCUUUUAUUUAAUUUCUUUAAUAUAAUAAUAAUUAAAACAAAUAUCUACUUAGUAAUUAAUAAAAAUAUUACAAAUGUAUGUAUUUUAUUAAUACACUUGUAUUAAAUUAUCACCAUACAUUUGUCUUUAUUUAAUUUAUUUCUUAAUAUAAUAUUUAUAAUGUAAUUAAUUUAAUAAUAUACUUUAUAAUUAAUUUAUAUAUUUAUAUAAAUAAUAAUAUAAAAAUCUAAGAUUUUUACAAUGUUAUGCCGCCUCAACUUCCAAAUGUGGCUUAAUUGCCCAUUUGGUCCCUAUUAUUUUUCUUUAAUCUAUAAUUAUGCUUUCACUCUUUAUUCAAUUUAAUCCUUUUUACUAAUUACUCAUAAUUAAACUAAAUUCACCUAUCUAAAACUUAAUUAAACACACAACUAGUCUCGUAAAUAUUUCUAAUAAUUAUUUUCGGACUCAAUUUACUAGGACGGAGGCCCGAUAUUAUACUUUUCCGAUGCCCAUGAAUUUUGGGUCAUUACAGAUUAACUCGAAAUUCAAAAAAUUUUCAAUUCUUUCAAGUAAAAUAGAAUAACUCAAAAAAUUGGAUUAAUAGUAGUCCUUAGAUAAAAGUUUCAAUAAUUAUGUAACAUCUCUCGAGAAGUGAACAGUGUUAAUUCGGGUUGGCACGUGCUUGAAAUUUUCGGAGUAGAUAAAAAAAUAUACUUAUUAAUAUUAGUAGGGAAGGUGAUUGGAAAUUAUAAGAAAUUAAAAGGACUUUUGAAUUUGGGAAAAUUAAUUUAAGAAAUGGAUUAAAUUGUAGAAGUGUGAGAAGUUUUGGGUGAUAGUGUAAAAAUAAAAAUAGGGAAAGGAUUAGAUUAAAUGGAUGAGAAAAAGAGCAAGGACUUGGAGUAGAAUUUAACCAUGAAAGAACAGAAAGGAGUGGAUGAUAUUGAAGAGGAAUGACAUCGGACAUGUGGCAUGGCAAUGAGAUUUUUCUUUAAUAAAAUAUAUAUAAAAAAAGGUGAAAGAUAUUUUGAUAGAAGGUUGUAGAAAAGGAAAUUCAGAUUUGUGACUGGGAGAGUUGUUGUCACGAACUACAUUUCCACUGCCUCUUAUCUUUUUUCCUAUUCAAACCAGAGUACCCAUCGAUGUCGAACUUCUACGAUAAGGUUGUAGUCCUUGCCGGCGAUGGACUCGCUGCAUUCACUAUCACCGAAGUUGCAGCCACUCUCACGGUGGCGACGCUACUAAUUAUCUAUUUCUCACGGUUGGUUAAGAAACACGUCAUCAAAACUAAGCUGUCGCCGCCAGGCCCGGUAGGCUUGCCGAUACUCGGCCACCUCCUCUUCAUCAAACCCGAUUUCCUCCAAUACGUAACCAAGCAAUCCCAAAUCCACGGUCGUAUCAUCAAGCUUCAGCUGGGAAGAAAAGUUUACAUCAUCAUAAGCUCACCAUCAAUCGCAAAACAAAUCCUCAAAGACCACGACGCCAUUUUCGCCAACCGCGACAUUCCGGUGGCGGCCAUAAAAGGAACCUUUGGCGGACUUGACAUUGUGUGGAGAUCCAACGGCCCAGAAUUGCAGAAGCUACGUAAGCUCGUCGUACGUGAAAUCAUGAGCAACAAAGGCCUCGAUGCGUGCUACGAAUUUCGCCGACGAGAGAUCCGACAAAUGGUGAAGAAUAUCCAUGGAAAAAUCGGGUCUCCCAUUAACCUCAGCGAACAAAUAUUCUUAACAACGCUGAGCGUUACGAUCAGCAUGCUAUGGGGUGGUUCAUUGAAUGGAGAAGAAGCAAAGCUUGGGCUUGAAAUUAAGGAUCGAUUAGAGGAAUUUAUGAAAUUGAUGGGAGAACCCAAUAU